This 70-nucleotide transfer RNA is filed under the name Thrichomys apereoides (common punare). RNAcentral's name for it is "tRNA-Tyr". It matches the Rfam family "tRNA". Rfam says of the family: Transfer RNA (tRNA) molecules are approximately 80 nucleotides in length. The record is from RNAcentral. Lineage: Eukaryota; Metazoa; Chordata; Mammalia; Rodentia; Echimyidae.
GGUAGAAUGGCUGAACAUAGGCGUUAGACUGUAAAUCUAAAUAUAAAGGUUUAUAUCCCUUUUUCUACCA